AAGUCGUAACAAGGUUUCCGUAGGUGAACCUGCGGAAGGAUCAUUACAGAGAACAUGCCCUUCAGGGUAUAUCUCCCACCCUUUGUUUAUAAUACCUUUGUUGCUUUGGCAGGCCUGUUUUACAACUACUGGCUUUGGCUGGUUAGCGCCUGCCAGAGGACCCUUAAUGCCUUAUAUUGCUGUCUGAGUAUUGUAUAAUAUUUAAAACUUUCAACAACGGAUCUCUUGGUUCUG
RNAcentral lists this unclassified non-coding RNA (234 nucleotides) under Helotiales sp. RNAcentral describes it as "partial contains small subunit ribosomal RNA, internal transcribed spacer 1, and 5.8S ribosomal RNA". The stretch from base 1 to 46 matches the Rfam family "Eukaryotic small subunit ribosomal RNA", at positions 1786 to 1831 of the family's 1831-position model. Lineage: Eukaryota; Fungi; Ascomycota; Leotiomycetes; Helotiales. The record is from RNAcentral.